RNAcentral lists this ribosomal RNA (301 nucleotides) under uncultured bacterium. RNAcentral describes it as "partial 16S ribosomal RNA". It matches the Rfam family "Bacterial small subunit ribosomal RNA", at positions 509 to 809 of the family's 1533-position model. The record is from RNAcentral.
CAGCCGCCGCGGGAAUACGGAGGGGGCUAGCGUUGUUCGGAAUUACUGGGCGUAAAGCGCACGUAGGCGGCUUGGUAAGUUAGAGGUGAAAGCCUGGAGCUCAACUCCAGAAUUGCCUUUAAGACUGCCGAGCUAGCAGGUGAGAGAGGUAAGUGGAAUUCCGAGUGUAGAGGUGAAAUUCGUAGAUAUUCGGAAGAACACCAGUGGCGAAGGCGGCUUACUGGCUCAUACUGGACGCUGAGGUGCGAAAGCGUGGGGAGCAAACAGGAUUAGAGACCCCUGUAGUCCCUGUCUCUUAUAA